AACAUCGCGCACCUGCGGGAACCUGCGGAAGGAUCAUUACAGAGUUGCAAAACUCCCUAAACCAUUGUGAACGUUACUUAAACCGUUGCUUCGGCGGGCGGCCCGGGUCCUUCCCGGCGCCCAUCGGCCCUCGCGGGCGCCCGCCGGAGGUAAACCAAACUAUUGCAUUGUAUGGCCUCUCUGAGUCUUCUGUACUGAAUAAGUCAAAACUUUUAACAACGGAUCUCAGAUCGGAAGAGC
Molecule: unclassified non-coding RNA, 240 nt
Filed under: soil metagenome
Description: partial contains 5.8S ribosomal RNA, internal transcribed spacer 2, and large subunit ribosomal RNA
Source: RNAcentral